GUAUAAAUGGUAUACAAUGAAACUGCGAAUGGCUCAUUAAAACAGUUAUAGUUUAUUUGGUAAUCGAAUUUACAUGGAUAACCGUGGUAAUUCUAGAGCUAAUACAUGCUGCAAGCCCGACUUCACGGAAGGGCCGUAUUUAUUAGAUAACAGACCAAUAUUCCUCGUGUCUAUUGUGGUGAAUCAUAGUAACUAAUCGGAUCGCAUGGGACUUUCCCGCGACAAACCAUUCAAGUUUCUGCCCCAUCAGCUUUCGAUGGUAGUGUAUUGGACUACCAUGGCUUUUACGGGUAACGGAGGAUUAGGGUUCGAUUCCGGAGAGGGAGCCUGAGAAACGGCUACCACAUCUAAGGGAGGCAGCAGGCGCGUAAAUUACCCAAUCCUAAUUCAGGGAGGUAGUGACAAGAAAUAACGGAUCGGGGCUCUGCCCUGGGACUGAAAUGAGAUGAAUUUACACCCCUUUUACGAGAAUCAAUUGGAGGGCAAGUCUGGUGCCAGCAGCCGCGGUAAUUCCAGCUCCAAUAGCGUAUAUUAAAGUUGUUGCAGUUAAAAAGCUCGUAGUUGGAUUUCUGGCAGAGGAACUAGGCCCGCAUGUUGCGGUUGCCAAGGUUCUCUACCAUCCUUCUGUUAACCCUCCUAGUUAUUUGUUUAACUGUUGGGAGCCCAGAUAUUUUACCUUGAGAAAAUUAGAGUGUUUCAGGCAGGCUAGCGCCCGGAUACAUUAGCAUGGAAUAAUAGAAUAGGACUUUUACCUCUUCUGUUGGUCUGAGGGGUUAAAGUAAUGAUUAAUAGGGAUAGUUGGGGGCAUUAGUACUUAACUGUCAG
This 825-nucleotide ribosomal RNA is filed under the name uncultured eukaryote. RNAcentral's name for it is "SSU rRNA". It matches the Rfam family "Eukaryotic small subunit ribosomal RNA", at positions 63 to 908 of the family's 1831-position model. The record is from RNAcentral.